CAUGCAGCCGACGGGCCCUCUGCCGCCUCCUCCUCCUCCCCUGCCCCGGCAUGCUCCCUUUACAUGGCUGCGCGCGGCCACUCAUGGGACCCUGCUGGCCACCCACCUCCUCCUCCUCCUCUGUGACUGGCCGGCGGAAGCGCGCAAUCGGCCCGUUUGCGUGGCUGGGCCGUGGCCGCGCGCCAGCCAUCCUCCAAAGGGAGCUGGUCCCCUUAAGGAGGCAGAGCCUCAGAAGAGGAGGAGGCAGAGCGGACUCUGGGCCAGAGGGAAGGGAAAGGGCUCAGGCGCGAAAUACAAACAGGAAGAGGGGCAGGAGCAGCAGGAGAAGGGGAGACCGGGAUAUGGAGGAAAUACUUGCCAACUUGGCGAAGCUUAAAGGAAUUCUGCAAUGGAAAAUGGUAGUAGACACCGUAAUAGUCUCUGUAUAUAUCGUUGAAUGGAUCCUAAUGAUAACACUGCUUCUGAAGAGAUGGUUAUCUGUGAAGAAGCAGCAGUAAGUCACUGCUCAUUUUGAACUUCUCCUCCAAUCCUUUUAGCAAUGAAAUGGCUUUCAAAUUGAAAUGGGGUUUAAUUUUGUGGCAUAAAUUUUUCAACUUAUACACAAGUAUAUAUGGUGCCUUGCUUUGUCAUCUACAAUAUCAACAUAGAACAUAAUGUUAUAAUUGUAGAGUUUCAUGACAAGGUAGUAUCAUGUUCUUCAUGUUCUCCUACAUGUCCCACUAUGCCAAAUCUUCAAAAUUGGAUCCAUUUCCCACUGUUCUAAUCACAUAGAUGAAAUGUCGGCUUUUUGCCAGUGCAUUGUCACUCCAUUUUCAGCUGGCAUCAAGGCGGAUUGGGGCCACGGCAUGUGGAUGAUGCAGCCUCAAUCUAUCUUCGGAAAUGGAGGCUUCAAGCCACCCGUUCAGGCCAUCUGUUUCGGCAUUAGAGUCAGUAAUAGGGAAGAAAUGGAUGCUCAGAACACUUAUGUUUUGUACAGGUUGAUUCUGCCUUAUCUGAAACAUUUGGGACCAAAAGUGUUCUAUUUUUUUUUAUUAUUUCAGAUUUUGGG
Sceloporus undulatus (fence lizard) is the source of this 1048-nucleotide long non-coding RNA. RefSeq lists it as uncharacterized. Lineage: Eukaryota; Metazoa; Chordata; Lepidosauria; Squamata; Phrynosomatidae. The transcript is spliced from 3 exons. The record is from RefSeq and is a predicted model, not a curated record.